AACCAACAAUCUAAAACUAACGGCAAUCCUAUCAAUUAAUAGAGAAAUACAUUUUACUAGGAACAAACUUAUUAUAUCAAACAGUACAAACUAUAACCAUACAAAAUCAGAACCUUUAUCAUAUUUAUAGAGUCUAUUAUCUUUUGAUCAGUUAGCAACUUAGCAGUAUUAUUCCUUCAAAGAAAAUUUUAAUUGUUCCAAUUAUAUAAUCAUUCAUUUUUUUUUACAUAAACUCUUAUUAAAUCAUCCACAAGUACUGCUACAAUCCACUAUUCAACCAUAUAUUAUGUAAAAAACACAUGUUUUUGUUAAACUAAAAUUUUAAAUGAAUGAGCCAUCAACACAUGUCUAAUCUAUAAAAGUAUUCAAAUGUAACUUGAAAAGAUGUACUAAAGGGACGAAACUCACAAGGCCAAACCGACACAUUAAAUUGAUUAUCCCAUUAAAAUAUUUUGUUCAUUAUUUCAUAAAUGUAAUUUAUGUUUAUCACAUAUUCAAAAUUUUCUCUAAAACAAUUUUUCACUAUUUAGACUUUUCCACAUUUUAGACUUAGUCAACUCGGCCUUGGGGGUAUAGGCAGUACUAACUUUUCAAAGUUUGCGAUCAAAUUCUUAUUUCUUUUAUUUGCGCAGUCACCAGAAACUGAUUCACUGGAUUUCAACCAAUUGAGUUAUAUUUUUUUGUUGUUAAUAAUAUUGAUGUGUGAAACACCUACUGAUGAGUCCUAUUCACACAUCCAUAUUA
This 744-nucleotide long non-coding RNA is filed under the name Mytilus galloprovincialis (Mediterranean mussel). Lineage: Eukaryota; Metazoa; Mollusca; Bivalvia; Mytilida; Mytilidae. The record is from RNAcentral.